UACGUAGGGUGCGAGCGUUAAUCGGAAUUACUGGGCGUAAAGCGUGCGCAGGCGGUUGUGCAAGACAGAUGUGAAAUCCCCGGGCUUAACCUGGGAAUUGCAUUUGUGACUGCACGGCUAGAGUGUGUCAGAGGGGGGUAGAAUUCCACGUGUAGCAGUGAAAUGCGUAGAUAUGUGGAGGAAUACCGAUGGCGAAGGCAGCCCCCUGGGAUAACACUGACGCUCAUGCACGAAAGCGUGGGGAGCAAACGGG
This 253-nucleotide ribosomal RNA is filed under the name uncultured bacterium. RNAcentral describes it as "partial 16S ribosomal RNA". It matches the Rfam family "Bacterial small subunit ribosomal RNA", at positions 524 to 776 of the family's 1533-position model. The record is from RNAcentral.